GAUGAACGCUGGCGGCGUGCCUAAUACAUGCAAGUCGAGCGAACAGAUAAGGAGCUUGCUCCUUUGACGUUAGCGGCGGACGGGUGAGUAACACGUGUAUAACCUACCUAUAAGACUGGGAUAACUUCGGGAAACCGGAGCUAAUACCGGAUAAUAUUUCGAACCGCAUGGUUCGAUAGUGAAAUAUGGUUUUGCUGUCACUUAUAGAUGGACCCGCGCCGUAUUAGCUAGUUGGUAAGGUAACGGCUUACCAAGGCGACGAUACGUAGCCGACCUGAGAGGGUGAUCGGCCACACUGGAACUGAGACACGGUCCAGACUCCUACGGGAGGCAGCAGUAGGGAAUCUUCCGCAAUGGGCGAAAGCCUGACGGAGCAACGCCGCGUGAGUGAUGACGGUCUUCGGAUCGUAAAACUCUGUUAUUAGGGAAGAACAUACGUGUAAGUAACUGUGCACGUCUUGACGGUACCUAAUCAGAAAGCCACGGCUAACUACGUG
This 497-nucleotide ribosomal RNA is filed under the name uncultured bacterium. RNAcentral's name for it is "partial 16S ribosomal RNA". It matches the Rfam family "Bacterial small subunit ribosomal RNA", at positions 28 to 507 of the family's 1533-position model. The record is from RNAcentral.